Molecule: transfer RNA, 78 nt
Filed under: Sus scrofa cristatus
Lineage: Eukaryota; Metazoa; Chordata; Mammalia; Artiodactyla; Suidae
Description: tRNA-Asn
Source: RNAcentral
UAGAUUGAAGCCAGUUGAUUAGGGUAUUUAGCUGUUAAAUUUGCAUUCAAUUGAUGUAGGAUGAGUCCUGCAGUCCUU